This is a long non-coding RNA of Bufo bufo (common toad), 239 nucleotides long. RefSeq lists it as uncharacterized. The record is from RefSeq and is a predicted model, not a curated record. NCBI's taxonomy places the organism in Eukaryota, Metazoa, Chordata, Amphibia, Anura, Bufonidae. The transcript has 3 exons.
CAGUCAUCUACAUUUUCCACGUUUAAACCUGAUUGAAUCAUUUCAUUAGAAUGGGCCAAACUCAAACAGCUGCAUCUAAAACUGGAAAAGCUACUGAUUAUAUUAACAUCUCUGAUCAUCAGUGUAAUGAGAAGAUAAAUGGGAAGAUCAAAAAUAGUGAUGCUUCUGAAAGUAAAGAAAGAAAGAAUUCCCAUGUCAAGGUAUUCACUAAGGAGAUGGUGGGAAUACUCGAACUGGUC